Molecule: ribosomal RNA, 253 nt
Filed under: uncultured bacterium
Lineage: Bacteria
Description: partial 16S ribosomal RNA
Rfam family: Bacterial small subunit ribosomal RNA
Source: RNAcentral
UACGGGGGGGGCAAGCGUUGUUCGGAAUUACUGGGCGUAAAGGGCUCGUAGGUGGCCAACUAAGUCAGACGUGAAAUCCCUCGGCUUAACCGGGGAACUGCGUCUGAUACUGGAUGGCUUGAGUUUGGGAGAGGGACGCGGAAUUCCAGGUGUAGCGGUGAAAUGCGUAGAUAUCAGGAGGAAUACCGGUGGCGAAAGCGACUCUCUGGACGGCAACUGACGCUGAGGCACGAAAGCGUGGGGAGCAAACAGG